AUAAAAGGCCAGAGAUCUAAGUACAUAAACAGUUCAAGAUAAAAAAACAAAUAAAGCCAAUUAAGAUCAAAUCUCUGCCCAAAAGAUCCCAGCCCAUUACAUUGAAAACCCUAAUAGGGAGAGAUCCUAGACCCAGCAUCCAUACGGUGCAAGGGAUAUUAAGCCUACAACCAAACUGAGGUAACUCGACAAAACCAUAGCACACUGAUGGGAAGGUAGAAGACUAACUGAAGCACGUUGAGGGACCGUACACAACUGAAGGAGCCUAAAAGUAGGUCUAUUAACUGAUAGCAACCGAAGGAAAACGAGGACGACCGUUGGCAAACUGAAAACCAGAUAAGCGCUUCCAAGGAUUAUUGAUAGCCACAAGCAUCUACUUCAGUGUUCAAAGAGGAGAAGGAAUCAGAGCUCUCAUCUAAGUCGGUGAGCACCAAUGGGUGACGAUAAAACGAUAAAGACCCCGAGGUGACUUGUUCUCCAAACUCCCCACUCAAACAUUCACACCGUGAAGCAGAUUCAGCAACAACAAUUCACUGGACAAAUCCUGCAUGCAAAUGAUACCCAACAUAGAACAACGAAACUAAAAACCAAAGGAUCUAAAACACAAUAUCAAAGAAUCAGAUUUUAAAAGUGCUCUCUCUUUGCAUAUCUCCAUCUGCUCUAAAUCAAAAGAACCAAAGCAUAAGGGUGUG
This 692-nucleotide unclassified non-coding RNA is filed under the name Hevea brasiliensis (rubber tree). Lineage: Eukaryota; Viridiplantae; Streptophyta; Magnoliopsida; Malpighiales; Euphorbiaceae. The record is from RNAcentral.